GGGAAUGUGGCUUGGUGGUAGAGCGCUUGCCUAGCAUGCAUGAAGCCCUGGGUUCAAUUCCUCAGCACCA
Molecule: transfer RNA, 70 nt
Filed under: Dipodomys ordii (Ord's kangaroo rat)
Lineage: Eukaryota; Metazoa; Chordata; Mammalia; Rodentia; Heteromyidae
Rfam family: tRNA
About the family: Transfer RNA (tRNA) molecules are approximately 80 nucleotides in length. Their secondary structure includes four short double-helical elements and three loops (D, anti-codon, and T loops).
Source: Rfam by way of RNAcentral